AUCCCAUGAUGAUGACACUCGAGUACGUAAUCUUUAAAGUGCUCCCAAGCUUUUGGGACUGUCUCAUCAUGUUGUUGCUAAAAACUUGAUAUUUUCCCACGAAGAGC
Molecule: small nucleolar RNA, 107 nt
Filed under: Sorghum bicolor (sorghum)
Lineage: Eukaryota; Viridiplantae; Streptophyta; Magnoliopsida; Poales; Poaceae
Description: Plant small nucleolar RNA R71
Rfam family: Plant small nucleolar RNA R71
About the family: R71 is a member of the C/D box family of snoRNAs containing the C (UGAUGA) and D (CUGA) box motifs. Multiple nearly identical copies of this snoRNA have been identified in Arabidopsis, and it is thought to function as a 2'-O-ribose methylation guide for 18S ribosomal RNA.
Source: Rfam by way of RNAcentral